GGGGUGCCGCACAAGCGGUGGAGCAUGUGGGUUGAUUAGUAGCACCGCGAAGAACCUUACCAGGUCUUGACAUCCUCUGACAACCCUAGAGAUAGGGCUUUCCCUUCGGGGACAGAGUGACAGGUGGUGCAUGGUUGUCGUCAGCUCGUGUCGUGAGAUGUUGGGUUAAGUCCCGCAACGAGCGCAACCCUUGAUCUUAGUUGCCAGCAUUCAGUUGGGCACUCUAAGGUGACUGCCGGUGACAAACCGGAGGAAGGUGGGGAUGACGUCAAAUCAUCAUGCCCCUUAUGACCUGGGCUACACACGUGCUACAAUGGACAGAACAAAGGGCUGCGAGACCGCAAGGUUUAGCCAAUCCCACAAAUCUGUUCUCAGUUCGGAUCGCAGUCUGCAACUCGACUGCGUGAAGCUGGAAUCGCUAGUAAUCGCGGAUCAGCAUGCCGCGGUGAAUACGUUCCCGGGCCUUGUACACACCGCCCGUCACACCACGAGAGUUUGCAACACCCGAAGUCGGUGAGGUAACCUUUAGGAGCCAGCCGCCGAAGGUGGGCAGAGUGGUUGU
This 562-nucleotide ribosomal RNA is filed under the name Bacillus sp. NBtS-13y. RNAcentral's name for it is "bacterial SSU rRNA". It matches the Rfam family "Bacterial small subunit ribosomal RNA", at positions 915 to 1478 of the family's 1533-position model. Lineage: Bacteria; Bacillati; Bacillota; Bacilli; Caryophanales; Bacillaceae. The record is from RNAcentral.